Molecule: small nucleolar RNA, 127 nt
Organism: Cricetulus griseus (Chinese hamster)
Lineage: Eukaryota; Metazoa; Chordata; Mammalia; Rodentia; Cricetidae
Gene: SNORD22
Rfam family: Small nucleolar RNA SNORD22
About the family: U22 is a member of the C/D class of snoRNA which contain the C (UGAUGA) and D (CUGA) box motifs. U22 is encoded within the U22 snoRNA host gene (UHG) in mammals and has also been identified in Xenopus.
Source: Ensembl
UCUCAGUGAAGGGACAUUCAUGUGUCUCACUUUCUACCCUCAAUCCAAUACAACUGGCAAGGUGAACACAUUUGAUCUGGCUUGGGGAGAAGCGGAAAUUUUAUUCCAAAAGGAAUUGUCUUGGGUU